This 279-nucleotide ribosomal RNA is filed under the name uncultured Staphylococcus sp. RNAcentral describes it as "partial 16S ribosomal RNA". It matches the Rfam family "Bacterial small subunit ribosomal RNA", at positions 82 to 355 of the family's 1533-position model. The record is from RNAcentral. Lineage: Bacteria; Bacillati; Bacillota; Bacilli; Caryophanales; Staphylococcaceae.
CUCCUUGACGUUAGCGGCGGACGGGUGAGUAACACGUGGGUAACCUACCUAUAAGACUGGGAUAACUUCGGGAAACCGGAGCUAAUACCGGAUAAUAUUUCGAACCGCAUGGUUCGAUAGUGAAAGGUGGUUUUGCUAUCACUUAUAGAUGGACCCGCGCCGUAUUAGCUAGUUGGUAAGGUAACGGCUUACCAAGGCACGAUACGUAGCCGACCUGAGAGGGUGAUCGGCCACACUGGAACUGAGACACGGUCCAGACUCCUACGGGAGGCAGCAGCC